UAAAUGACUUGGUGUAGUUAUAGGGUGAAGGCCUAUCCCUUGCACUGUGAGCAGGUUGACCCCUGGGAGAGUCUACAAAUGUAAGGAUCUCAGCUAAACAAUUUAUGGUGAUGGGGGAUUGAUUUCGAGCUUUCCCUCU
Molecule: small nuclear RNA, 139 nt
Filed under: Crocodylus porosus (Australian saltwater crocodile)
Lineage: Eukaryota; Metazoa; Chordata; Crocodylia; Crocodylidae
Description: U1 spliceosomal RNA (ENSCPRG00005017059.1)
Rfam family: U1 spliceosomal RNA
About the family: U1 is a small nuclear RNA (snRNA) component of the spliceosome (involved in pre-mRNA splicing). Its 5' end forms complementary base pairs with the 5' splice junction, thus defining the 5' donor site of an intron. There are significant differences in sequence and secondary structure between metazoan and yeast U1 snRNAs, the latter being much longer (568 nucleotides as compared to 164 nucleotides in human).
Source: RNAcentral